This 689-nucleotide ribosomal RNA is filed under the name uncultured soil bacterium. RNAcentral's name for it is "bacterial SSU rRNA". It matches the Rfam family "Bacterial small subunit ribosomal RNA", at positions 29 to 763 of the family's 1533-position model. The record is from RNAcentral.
GCGACGCUGGCGGCAGGCUUAACACAUGCAAGUCGAGCGGGUGUAGCAAUACAUCAGCGGCAGACGGGUGAGUAACGCGUGGGAACGUACCUUUUGGUUCGGAACAACCCAGGGAAACUUGGGCUAAUACCGGAUAAGCCCUUACGGGGAAAGAUUUAUCGCCGAAAGAUCGGCCCGCGUCUGAUUAGCUAGUUGGUGAGAUAAUGGCUCACCAAGGCGACGAUCAGUAGCUGGUCUGAGAGGAUGAUCAGCCACAUUGGGACUGAGACACGGCCCAAACUCCUACGGGAGGCAGCAGUGGGGAAUAUUGGACAAUGGGGGCAACCCUGAUCCAGCCAUGCCGCGUGAGUGAUGAAGGCCCUAGGGUUGUAAAGCUCUUUUGUGCGGGAAGAUAAUGACGGUACCGCAAGAAUAAGCCCCGGCUAACUUCGUGCCAGCAGCCGCGGUAAUACGAAGGGGGCUAGCGUUGCUCGGAAUCACUGGGCGUAAAGGGUGCGUAGGCGGGUCUUUAAGUCAGGGGUGAAAUCCUGGAGCUCAACUCCAGAACUGCCUUUGAUACUGAGGAUCUUGAGUCCGGGAGAGGUGAGUGGAACUGCGAGUGUAGAGGUGAAAUUCGUAGAUAUUCGCAAGAACACCAGUGGCGAAGGCGGCUCACUGGCCCGGUACUGACGCUGAGGCACGAAAGCGUG